RNAcentral lists this ribosomal RNA (433 nucleotides) under uncultured bacterium. Its description in RNAcentral is "partial 16S ribosomal RNA". It matches the Rfam family "Bacterial small subunit ribosomal RNA", at positions 29 to 507 of the family's 1533-position model. The record is from RNAcentral.
AACGAACGCUGGCGGCAUGCCUAACACAUGCAAGUCGAACGAGACCUUCGGGUUUAGUGGCGCACGGGUGCGUAACGCGUUGGAUCCUGCCCUUAGGUUCGGAAUAACUCUCGGAAUGGGGUGCUAAUACGGGAUCAUGUCUCCGGACCAAAGAUUUAUCGACUUUGGAGGGGCCUGCGUUGUAUUAGCUUGUUGGUAGGGUAAAAGGCUACCAAGGGGACGUUUCAUAGCUGGUCAGAGAGGAAGAUCAGCCACACUGGUAUGGAGACGCGGCCCAGACUCCUACGGGAGGCACCAGUGGGUGAUAUUGCAAAGUGGGCGAAAGCCUGAUCCAGCAAUGCCGGUUGAGUAAUGAAGGCCUGAAGGUUGUAAAGCUCUUUUACCCGGGAUGAUAAUGACAGUACCGAGAGAAUAAGCUCCGGCUAACUCCGUG